RNAcentral lists this long non-coding RNA (1753 nucleotides) under Paramuricea clavata. The record is from RNAcentral. Lineage: Eukaryota; Metazoa; Cnidaria; Anthozoa; Malacalcyonacea; Plexauridae.
CUGCUUUGAAAUUUGUUGCCGAUUGCAGAAUUUUGUCACAGGCCUUAAAAUAUCUUUUACAGGGUCGUCUGACAAAAUGUCCGGUGACGUUGAGUUUGGGUCGGACAUAUGUCCGAUGACCUUCAGUUCAGUUUUGACUCGGAAAUAAGUCUGAGUGCCGGCACAAAUGAAUAAACGGUAAAUGUAGUAAAGAUGUUAAAUACUUUGUUUCUUUCGUACUUAUUUCCAAGCCAAAAUUACGUGAUGACAUUGUUUACAACAGAAUAACUUCAAGGAAAAACUGCCCAGAUUGGUCGGAUCGUUUAGAGAUCAUCGCACUCGAACUUGAGCUGUUAAAUUCAAAGAAAUCUCUAGUGUGUGUUUGUGAUCGACCACCUAGUUGCGAAUUAGACGAAUGGCUCGAAUCGUUCACUACAUUUCUGCAGGAAACAUCACACUACGAUAAAGUCCUUAUCACCGGUGACUUCAACUUCCCAGAUUUAACUUGGAACUCCAGCCUGGUGCCUACCAAAUCAGAAAGAAGUAUCUCGGCAGGAUCAUCUGAAUUUAGAGAACUUGCGUUUGAUUUUUUCUUCCACCAAGUCAGCAUGUGCCCUACUAGACAAAACAACAUUCUAGACCUCGUCCUAACGAACGCUCCUGAAAACAUUGUCAAUCUCUCGUGCGUUCCCGCCAAAACAAUGGAUCUCUCAAGUGACCACAACCUGAUGUUCUUUGACAUCUUACUUCAUAUUAAAUCAACAGGUUUUGACAAGAGAACUGUUUUUGAUUUCCAUCAUGCAGACUGGAACGGCCUAUACCACGCCCUUAACCACAUCAAUUUAUCACCCAACGAGUCGAAUGAUAUCAACAAAGAUUGGAAGCGAUGUAAAGACCUCUUCCUUGGUGCCGCGGCUGAUUAUAUUCCACUCAAAACCUUCAAACGGCGUAGCUCUCCUCCAUGGAUUGACGGUGAAGUCAGGCGUCUUCUCUCAAAGAAAGACUCGUGUAGAAAAAAGGCGAAACUUUCCUCAUCUGCUAAUCUCUGGGGAAAAUUCCGUGAUCUUCGACGUGCGGUCAAGACAUUAAUUAGUAAGAACCAAGCGAAUAGAGUACUUCCAGAAACUUCCAACUUUGCUAAAAUCGAGCAGUAAAAAGUUCUGGUCUGUCUUCAAAUCUACCUCGAAACAUUCUAACAUUCCCAGUAAAAUGUCGUGGACCCAACAAGAUUCAACUUCCUCCACAGCUGAAAACCCUGCCGACAUUGUCGACCUGUUAAACCGUUACUUCUACUCGGUGUUCAAACAUUCCGAUACUACUGACGACCAUUCCCCUUCUGUUGCUCCUGAUAACGACACGACUGAUCUUACCACCAUCGCAAACAUCUUGUUAACAGAAGAGGAAGUACGUGUUGUACUCAAAGCACUGGAUGAAGCCAAAGCUAGUGGCCCCGACAAAAUCCCAGCGUUACUGCCGAAGAACUGUGCAGUUAACAUCAGUUCAUCUCUAUGCCAGCUGUUCAAAAAGAGCUUAUCUUGUGGAAUUCUGCCGUCCGAAUGGAAGCUGGCCAACAUCAGUCCAAUUCCAAAAAGGAACCCUAUUCAUGACGUAACCAACUACAGACCAAUAUCACUGUUGUCAUUAGUCUUGAAAGUGUUUGAACGCUGUAUAUAUAAUAGACUUAUAGAACACGUAUACGGUCAAAUUUACGAACUGCAGUACGGUUUUUCAGGGGAAGAUCUACAACAUCGCAGCUGCUACACAUUCUCCAUCA